This 494-nucleotide ribosomal RNA is filed under the name Brachycephalus mirissimus. Its description in RNAcentral is "Brachycephalus sp. n. MP-2018 partial 16S ribosomal RNA". It matches the Rfam family "Bacterial large subunit ribosomal RNA", at positions 1846 to 2570 of the family's 2925-position model. The record is from RNAcentral. Lineage: Eukaryota; Metazoa; Chordata; Amphibia; Anura; Brachycephalidae.
UAAGAGGUCUAGCCUGCCCAGUGACCAAAAUUCAACGGCCGCGGUAUCCUGACCGCGCGAAGGUAGCGUAAUCACUUGUUUUUUAAAUAAAGACUAGUAUGAAUGGCAUCACGAGGAUCGAACUGUCUCCUUUCCAUAAUCAGUGAAACUAAUCCCCCCGUGAAAAAGCAGGGAUCAAACUACAAGACGAAAAGACCCUAUGGAGCUUUAAAUAUAUAACUAUGCCUCUUAACCCCCCCCCGCACCUAGUUAUAAAUUUUAGGUUGGGGUGACCGCGGAGAAAAACCUAUCCUCCAUGACAAAUGAAUUUACUUUAAACAAAAAGUCACAACCUCAUGUAUCAACAAAUUGACAUACUGACCCAAUAAUUUGAUCAGCGAACCAAGUUACCCUAGGGAUAACAGCGCAAUCCACUUUGAGAGUUCAUAUCGACAAGUGGGCUUACGACCUCGAUGUUGGAUCAGGGUAUCCCAGUGGUGCAGCCGCUACUAAAG